Molecule: long non-coding RNA, 2430 nt
Organism: Oncorhynchus tshawytscha (Chinook salmon)
Lineage: Eukaryota; Metazoa; Chordata; Actinopteri; Salmoniformes; Salmonidae
Source: Ensembl
AAGAAGAGCAAUGGGAAAGAGAUGGCAGAGAAAUUCUAGGAGUGACAUGAAAUAUGGGGAAAGGAGUGACAGGUGAAGAUGGGGACAGAGAGAGGGAUGGGCAGUGAGUGAGUGCCUCUGGGCAGACAUUGGCUCAGUCAGGAGUUGAGAGGAGAGAGGACUGAAAGAUUUGUGGGGAAUGCAGUAGGAUAAUGGUGCAGUACUAGAUGAUAUAAAGUGUGGAGCAGAGAGGGGAAAUAGGGAAGACGGUGUGCGGCUGGAUUAGAGGAGGAGGGUGGAGGAGUCGGCAUAAGAGAAGGACAGAUUUGACUCAGAAAGCUCAAUGGAUUACAGAUUUGUGAGCUGGUGGUUUGUCACUACUUGCUGGCAGUUACAUUCUCUGUCUGCUUCUCUAUGCCAUUUCUCUCUCUCCAGCUCAACUUUAGGGCAGAGUAAGCUCUGUGGCUGAGUGUAGUCAGAGCAAACUGAGAGGGCAAAAGGGAGAGGCAGUAGAGCUGGUGAGGUGCUUGUAACUGGACCUGUUUCUCCUUGCUUUGGAAUGUGACUCUCUCAAUUCAAGAAGCUUCAAUGACUCAAUCACUGAUGGGAUACUUCUCUCCCUAAGAACAUCAGGUGGAAUUAAAUCUGACAAAGACUCUUUGAUUGAAAUGGGAGUGAAGCAAUGGGAGCGGAGCAUCCAAAUUCUCCAGCAUGUGGUCUCCUCUCCAGCUCCCAUCAACCCCCAGGAGAAGAUGAAGGGAGCUUUGAGUCUCUCAGGCGGAAGGGUGUCCAGUAUGAUAACUGCCAUGGUGGACUGUCCAUGGAUCACCGUGGAGACCUGUGAUUGACAGACAGGCACUAGCCCCCGUCUGGCUGGCUGGCAGGCCGUCAUUACGAUGAGCAGGAGCAGAUUUGCUAUGCUGGCGACAGGACCGCACGGGAAAUGUCAACGACCAUCAGAGCCCCAGACAGACUUCCUCCCCUCCCCCAAGUACCUCACCUAAUGUCAGCUAAUGCCCAUGCUCAUCAUCCAGACCCUCGGUACCAUCAACACAGCUUCACAUACUUCAUCUACACUCAUUUACAAACCACAUGCACACAAAGCACUCUACCCCUGUAUACUUCGUCCAACAACUCAACACGCCUCACCCAAACCCCCACAUGGCUCACCCAUCCCUCACAUAUUUCACCCCAACCCCUAUGUAUCACCCAACGGCCUCACACCUCAUCCAACCACCACAGUACCUCACUCCUUAUGUGCGUCAUCCGCCCCACACAUCCACCCGUCACCCCCCCCGUCACCCCCCAUGCACCUCAGCCAGCCUCCUAUAUUAAUACCAUGUCUCCCUCUAUUGGCCUAUUGCCCAGCAGCACUCUGCAUGUUAACAUUUCAAAAUUCCUCAAAUGGUGAGAAAGAAGUAUUUUCUUGCCUUCAGUCUAUGUGAACAGCCAGUCUGCCCUGCAUGCCAGACAGCUAGCUAGAACAUCACGUGUGGUCAGUUCUGAGACAGACUGGCACUCUGACAGGCACCCUGACCAGAGUAAGUGCCUCACACAUAUUACAGCAGUUUACUGCAGUUUGGCAGGACACUGACAACAAGACCAGCCAAUGCCUGGCAAACUGACUGACCCCCGGUCUAGUUGGCACCUAGUAAGAUAAGGAGAAAAUAUAAGGAAUAUGACAUUGAGAUCAUGUGUAAGUGAAAAAGGUUUCGGUAAUUAUUUUCUCUUUCUUGACGUGUUUUUUUUUUCUGCAAACGUACACACAGUGCAAACGUUUAGGAAAUCUGUUCCAAGGUAUCUCUAGAGUAAAGUCUUAACAGUCAUCCUUCUCCUCUCCGGGCCCAGACACAGCGUCAUGUUCAUGUUGGUACUAUUCAGAGCUCUGCUGCCUUGAAUGAUACCACAAAACUAAAUAAACACAUUAAAAUGGCUUCCUGUCGCCUCCCAUUGGCGACACAGGAAGAAAUCUCAGUUUCAUUACAUAGGAAAUUAAAAGGAAGGGUAUUUGUAGAGUACAAGGAGGAAAGGUGAGGAAAACUUUCUGCGAGACCACAAUCUAACUAUAUUACAUAUAAUCACUCAUUGAAAUAGUUUUUUAUUUAUUUGAAUUCUGUUCCUCCAGCCUGGGAUUUUUAAAAUUCCUGCCAUCGAUCUAGAAGCUGCUUGAAGCAGUGGGAGAGAGGGUUAGAUCUGUGGUAUGGAAAUACUGGGCAGAAGUUAUGAAUGAGGCAAUCUAAAAAAUUAAUAGGUAAAUCAAUGAAGCAUUCAAUGUGCAUCAACAUUGACUUAAUCAAGCAUUCGUCUUUAUGGUCUUGUAUUAUUGAUUUUAUAUCAACGUAUCAAGUUGAAAUCAAAAUUAUUUUUGCUUCUGUACAUUUUGAGGAUUGACUGAAAACCUGUCCCUUGCAUUAGAAAUAAAAUGCAAUGCAAAAUAAAGAGUUAUCUGUU